This 21-nucleotide non-coding RNA is filed under the name Caenorhabditis elegans. Lineage: Eukaryota; Metazoa; Nematoda; Chromadorea; Rhabditida; Rhabditidae. The record is from RNAcentral.
UUAUGAUUCGUUUUUUGUUCA